AUUGAACGCUGGCGGCAGGCCUAACACAUGCAAGUCGAACGGUAGCACAGAGAGCUUGCUCUCGGGUGACGAGUGGCGGACGGGUGAGUAAUGUCUGGGAAACUGCCUGAUGGAGGGGGAUAACUACUGGAAACGGUAGCUAAUACCGCAUAACGUCGCAAGACCAAAGAGGGGGAUCUUCGGGCCUCUUUCUAUCAGAUGUGCCCAGUUGGGAUUAGCUAGUAGGUGGGGUAACGGCUCACCUAGGCGACGAUCCCUAGCUGGUCUGAGAGGAUGACCAGCCACACUGGAACUGAGACACGGUCCAGACUCCUACGGGAGGCAGCAGUGGGGAAUAUUGCACAAUGGGCGCAAGCCUGAUGCAGCCAUGCCGCGUGUAUGAAGAAGGCCUUCGGGUUGUAAAGUACUUUCAGCGGGGAGGAAGGCGAUAAGGUUAAUAACCUUGUCGAUUGACGUUACCCGCAGAAGAAGCACCGGCUAACUCCGUG
Molecule: ribosomal RNA, 488 nt
Filed under: uncultured bacterium
Lineage: Bacteria
Description: partial 16S ribosomal RNA
Rfam family: Bacterial small subunit ribosomal RNA
Source: RNAcentral